UUCUCCAUUGACAACACACAAAGGUGCUUCUCGGGGUCUGGGAUGCUGGUAUCAGCAGUGAAUUUGACACUGAGGUGUUGGUCUCUCCAAAGGAGGGCUCAAAGAUGCUCAGUGACUCAGCUAACAUUACGGAAAAGGGGGCAAAAAUAACCUAAGAGCCAGAAGGAGGAAUGCUGUCUCCAGGAUAUGACAUGACUGUCCCACAAUGCCUCUAUUGCGACCUGCACAGGACCAAGACAACAAGAAAAAUCUCUGUCUAGCUUGAUGUCCCGAAAGUUUUCUCUUGCGACUUCUUCCAAAAGGAAAUACAUAACCCACAACCUAGGUUUUGCCAAGAAUGUAGGUUAUUCUCCACAAACUGACAGCAAGGCCCCAUUGCUGAAGACAACACCUAAAUAAUAUGUUGAAGGUUGAGAUGUUGAAUCAGUGCCUACAUAGAGCCUUCACUGCUAUGUUCCAGCAUCUUUGAUACAGGAAUGCCUGCUAAACACAUUCAAAGAAGAAAUGUAAAUGCCAAACCAGCCACAAACCCUUUAUCUAACAAUGGCCUAC
Mastomys coucha (southern multimammate mouse) is the source of this 552-nucleotide long non-coding RNA. RefSeq lists it as uncharacterized. The transcript has 4 exons. NCBI's taxonomy places the organism in Eukaryota, Metazoa, Chordata, Mammalia, Rodentia, Muridae. The record is from RefSeq and is a predicted model, not a curated record.